UAACAUGUGGCUAACCUGCCCUUAGGACAGAGACAACCCCGGGAAACUGGGGCUAAUCUCUGAUAGGUGUGGAAUUCUGGAAUGAAUCGACACCCAAAAGACGCCUGAAUCAUGCUUUAAACAUCGCCUAAGGAUGGGGCCGCAGCCGAUCAGGUUGUUGGUGAGGUAACGGCUCACCAAGCCUAUAACCGGUACGGGCCGCGGGAGCGGUAGCCCGGAGAUGGACACUGAGAUAAGGGUCCAGGCCCUACGGGGCGCAGCAGUCGCGAAAACUCCACAAUGCGCGAAAGCGCGAUGGGGCUAUCCCGAGUGCCGUCCGCUGAGGAUGGCUUUUCUCCAGUGUAAGGAGCUGGAGGAAUAAGGAGAGGGCAAGACUGGUGUCAGCCGCCGCGGUAAUACCAGCUCUCCGAGUGGUAGGGAUGUUUAUUGGGCCUAAAGCGUCCGUAGCCGGCUCAUCAAGUCCUCCGUUAAAUCCAGCGAUUCAAUCGUUGGGCUGCGGGGGAUACUGUUGGGCUAGGGGACGGGAAAGGCCGACGGUAUUCCCAGAGUAGGGGUGAAAUCCUAUAAUU
This 569-nucleotide ribosomal RNA is filed under the name uncultured archaeon. RNAcentral describes it as "bacterial SSU rRNA". It matches the Rfam family "Archaeal small subunit ribosomal RNA", at positions 94 to 647 of the family's 1478-position model. The record is from RNAcentral.